This 253-nucleotide ribosomal RNA is filed under the name uncultured bacterium. Its description in RNAcentral is "partial 16S ribosomal RNA". It matches the Rfam family "Bacterial small subunit ribosomal RNA", at positions 524 to 776 of the family's 1533-position model. The record is from RNAcentral.
UACGUAGGUGGCAAGCGUUAUCCGGAUUUAUUGGGCGUAAGGGGAACGCAGGCGGUCUUUUAAGUCUGAUGUGAAAGCCUUCGGCUUAACCGGAGUAGUGCAUUGGAAACUGGGAGACUUGAGUGCAGAAGAGGAGAGCGGAACUCCAUGUGUAGCGGUGAAAUGCGUAGAUAUAUGGAAGAACACCAGUGGCGAAAGCGGCUCUCUGGUCUGUAACUGACGCUGAGGUUCGAAAGCGUGGGUAGCAAACAGG